GGCUUAGAAGCAGCCACUCAUUUAAAGAGUGCGUAAUAGCUCACUGGUCGAGUGACCCUGCGCGGAAAAUUCAACGGGGCUAAAAUCAUAACCGAAGCUUGGGAUAUACUAAUGUAUAUGGUAGGGGAGCGUUGUGUAAGGGGUGAAGUCAUAGCGGAAGCGGUGGUGGACUUUACACAAGUGAGAAUGCCGGAAUGAGUAGCGCGAAUUAUGUGAGAAUCAUAAUGGCCGAAAGUCUAAGGUUUUUGGAGGAAGGUUCGUCCGCUCCAAGUUAGUCGGGAGCUAAGGUCAGGCCGAAAGGCGUAGCCGAUGCACAUACGGUAGACAUUCCGUAACCGUCGAAGUAUUUAAGCAAAGGGACACUUUGAGAAGGUACAAGCCAGGCGUUGGUAGCCCUGGUCGUAAGGGACUGAAGUUUAGUAAGGAAGUGUACUGGAACAGAGGCGAGAAAAGCUUUGUGUAUAUACAAGAUGCCCGUACCGCAAACCGACACAGGUAGAUGGGAAGAGAAUUCUAAGGCCAACGGGAGAAGGGUUGUUAAGGAACUCGGCAAGUUGACCCCGUAACUUCGGAAGAAGGGGUGCUCCAGAAAUGGAGCCGCAGAGAAUAGGUCCAGGCGACUGUUUAGCAAAAACACAGCUCUAUGCUAAAUCGAAAGAUGAUGUAUAUGGGGUGACACCUGCCCGGUGCUGGAAGGUUAAGAGGAGAUGUGCAAGCAUUGAAUUGAAGCCCCAGUAAACGGCGGCCGUAACUAUAACGGUCCUAAGGUAGCGAAAUUCCUUGUCAGGUAAGUUCUGACCCGCACGAAUGGUGUAACGAUCUGGACACUGUCUCAACAACCCGCCCGGCGAAAUUGUAGUACCGGUGAAGAUGCCGGUUACCCGCGACAAGACGGAAAGACCCCAUGGAGCUUUACUGUAGCUUAAUAUUGGAUUUUGAUAUUUCAUGUACAGAAUAGGUGGGAGACUGAGAAGCAGAGGCGUCAGCUUCUGUGGAGUCGCCUUUGGGAUACCACUCUUGAAGUGUUGAAAUUCUAACCUGCAGCCGUGAAACCGGCUGGGGGACAUUGUUAGGUGGGCAGUUUGACUGGGGCGGUCGCCUCCAAAAAGGUAUCGGAGGCGCUCAAAGGUUCGCUCAGCAUGGACGGAAACCAUGCCCCUGAGUGUAAACGCAAAAGCGAGCCUAACUGCGAGACUGACGGGUCGAGCAGUAACGAAAGUUGGAGUUAG
This 1229-nucleotide ribosomal RNA is filed under the name metagenome. RNAcentral's name for it is "bacterial LSU rRNA". It matches the Rfam family "Bacterial large subunit ribosomal RNA", at positions 1103 to 2415 of the family's 2925-position model. The record is from RNAcentral.